Molecule: ribosomal RNA, 113 nt
Filed under: Acanthosepion pharaonis
Lineage: Eukaryota; Metazoa; Mollusca; Cephalopoda; Sepiida; Sepiidae
Source: RNAcentral
UUGCGGCCAUAUCACAUUGAAACACCGUUUCACGUACGAUCACCGAAGUUAAGCAACGUCGAGCUUGGUCAGCACCUAGAUGGGUGACCGCUCGGGAUUACCAGGCGCUGUAA